Long non-coding RNA from Rhinopithecus roxellana (golden snub-nosed monkey), 1173 nucleotides. RefSeq lists it as uncharacterized. The transcript has 3 exons. The record is from RefSeq and is a predicted model, not a curated record. Lineage: Eukaryota; Metazoa; Chordata; Mammalia; Primates; Cercopithecidae.
AACUGCUGGGAGGAAUUAAGGACAGCCCUGUGCAUUGGUCCUUUGGCUCAGCAAUCUGCCGUUUGAUUGGUCCGAGAGCUGGGGGCGGGGCUUUGGGCCGGUGCCGCGAGAAGCCGGAAUUACUUUGGAGAGCCCCGCCCCCUGGCUCCGCAGAUAGAGAAACUGAAGCACGGAGAGGUUAUGCAGCUUGCCCAGGUUCACGCAGCUGGUAAGAACAGCGUCGGAGUCCAUGUUCUUAUCACUCAAGAUGUUCUGUUGGGGACAGCAUGCCGUGGUCUUGAGGAUCUCCUCCUUCUCAGAUGACCUGCUGCUGACCUCAGAUACCUAUAGAGACUCUGCUGGUGCCUGUCAAAGGUGCUGUAACCUCCCACUCCCAGAAAAAGUGCCUCUGCUCUCUCUCAUCUGCUGAAGGUAGCACUGCUGGAAGUCUUGUAUGGAAGUGGAAGAUCUGAUGUCUUUGCUGCAUGUAUUGGCAUCUCUGGUUGAGAAGGUUGCUAGUGUUCCACUCUGCUGAUGCAGACACUGGUAGUGGCAUUGAUGUGAUAAAGACUUCAAAGCACCAGUAAGUUCUCUACUGAAGUGGAAAGGAGCUUUUUGUGUCUUUUGUCUCCUGGGCUCCAAAGUCAUGCUUCCUGGUGUUGCCAGUGAGCAGGGAGAAUUUAGUGAAGAAGCUUUUUGCAGAGAUGACUAGCUGUCUGCUAAAAUUCCGUUAUGUAGAAUGAGUGUCAAGAAGUAGCCACACACACAUUAAAAACAUUCGGAACCCCUGUACCCCACCUUUACAUUUAGUGGAGUCAUAGGACUAGCUCACACCCAUGUGAACAGAGCUGAUGUGUCUCAUUUCGGGGUCAAGGAGUUUAAGAAGUGGGGUGUGUCUCCUUGACAUUCUCUUUUUCCUCUUCUGCCAGCUCUAAUACCUCAAGGAAUGUCAGAAUAGGGGACAGAAAGAGCCAGGACAUCCACCUUGCACUGUUCUGGGAGCAAGAGAUACAUUUUCUGGGUUGGGCACUGUGGAUCAUGCCUAUAAUCCCAGGACUUUGGGAGGCUGAGGUGGGCGAAUUGCCUGAGCUCAGGAGUUUGUGACCAGCCUUGGCAACACAGGGAAACCCCAUCUCUAUUAAAAUACAAAAAAUUAGUCAGGUGUGGCAGCGUGUGCCUGUAAUCCCAGCUACU